CUACGGGGGGCACCAGUGGGGAAUAUUGGACAAUGGGGGAAACCCCGAUCCAGCAAUGCCGCGUGUGUGAAGAAGGCCUGCGGGUUGUAAAGCACUUUCGGUUGGGAGGACUGCUUCUAGCACUAAUAUUGUUGGAAGUUGACGUUACCUUCAGAAGAAGCACCGGCUAACUCCGUGCCAGCAGCCGCGGUAAUACGGAGGGUGCAAGCGUUAAUCGGAAUUACUGGGCGUAAAGCGCGCGUAGGCGGCUAGAUCAGUCGGGUGUGAAAGCCCCGGGCUUAACCUGGGAACUGCAUCCGAUACUGUCUAGCUUGAGUACAGGAGAGGAGAGUGGAAUUCCACAUGUAGCGGUGAAAUGCGUAGAUAUGUGGAGGAACACCAAUGGCGAAGGCAGCUCUCUGGCCUGAUACUGACGCUGAGGUGCGAAAGCGUGGGGAUCAAACAGGAUUAGAUACCCCGGUAGUC
RNAcentral lists this ribosomal RNA (465 nucleotides) under uncultured bacterium. Its description in RNAcentral is "partial 16S ribosomal RNA". It matches the Rfam family "Bacterial small subunit ribosomal RNA", at positions 339 to 795 of the family's 1533-position model. The record is from RNAcentral.